GAUGAACGCUGACAGAAUGCUUAACACAUGCAAGUCAACUUGAACUUCGGUUUGGGUGGCGGACGGGUGAGUAACGCGUAAAGAACUUGCCUCACAGAUAGGGACAACAUUUGGAAACGAAUGCUAAUACCUGAUAUUAUGAUUAUAUGGCAUCGUAUAAUUAUGAAAGCUAUAUGCGCUGUGAGAGAGCUUUGCGUCCCAUUAGCUAGUUGGAGAGGUAACGGCUCACCAAGGUGAUGAUGGGUAGCCGGCCUGAGAGGGUGAUCGGCCACAAGGGGACUGAGACACGGCCCUUACUCCUACGGGAGGCAGCAGUGGGGAAUAUUGGACAAUGGACCAAGAGUCUGAUCCAGCAAUUCUGUGUGCACGAUGAAGUUUUUCGGAAUGUAAAGUGCUUUCAGUUGGGAAGAAAAAAAUGACGGUACCAACAGAAGAAGUGACGGCUAAAUACGUG
This 454-nucleotide ribosomal RNA is filed under the name uncultured bacterium. RNAcentral describes it as "partial 16S ribosomal RNA". It matches the Rfam family "Bacterial small subunit ribosomal RNA", at positions 28 to 507 of the family's 1533-position model. The record is from RNAcentral.